Molecule: unclassified non-coding RNA, 25 nt
Filed under: Mus musculus (house mouse)
Lineage: Eukaryota; Metazoa; Chordata; Mammalia; Rodentia; Muridae
Description: oocyte_clustered_small_RNA5442
Source: RNAcentral
GCACUGUGGAUGUGGGCUGUAGCAA